RNAcentral lists this ribosomal RNA (185 nucleotides) under uncultured bacterium. RNAcentral's name for it is "partial 16S ribosomal RNA". It matches the Rfam family "Bacterial small subunit ribosomal RNA", at positions 346 to 522 of the family's 1533-position model. The record is from RNAcentral.
CCUUAGGGGGGAGAAAUAUUGGACAAUAGGGCGAAAGCCUGAUCCAGCCAUGCCGCGUGUGUGAAGAAGGUCUUCGGAUUGUAAAGCACUUUAAGUUGGGAGGAAGGGUUGUAGUUUAAUACGCUGCAAUCUUGACGUUACCAACAGAAUAAGCACCGGCUAACUCUGUGCCAGCAGCCGCGGUA